Long non-coding RNA from Psammomys obesus (fat sand rat), 667 nucleotides. RefSeq lists it as uncharacterized. The record is from RefSeq and is a predicted model, not a curated record. The transcript is spliced from 3 exons. Lineage: Eukaryota; Metazoa; Chordata; Mammalia; Rodentia; Muridae.
GAACUCUCUCAUGAGUCAGAAAGCUUCAAUGCCAAUUCAUGAAGUUGACAGAGACAAAGGGACCUAACCUGGAUGCUCCUCAAGAGAGAGGUACUGGCUGUCUUCCAGGUUGAAGUCCCUGGAAGAAAGAAGCAUGCUCGAGCCAGAGUGGGGCUUGAAAGAAUGAAAAUACGAAUAGCUGUUGCCUAGAUCUGGAGCAGUUUGGAGAGACAGAAUACAAUAUGGCGGUUUGGAGCAGACAGAUGGAGAGAGAUGCUUUGGGGUGCAGCAGCUUGGAGGAGAGUUGCUGUUGAUGGAGGUACGGGGCAUAGGACUGACUCAGAUUAUCCACAGCAGCAAACUAUUCAUUUGCCUGGUGCAGGCUCUUUGCCAUCUGCAGACAGUUUGAAUCUGAGGACUCUAAGAGGGAAUAAAUGUCAGAGCCCAGAGAGAGAAGGGGGCUCUAAGAAAGGCUGCUGAUGCUCUCCUCCGGCUGCUCCUGGCUUCUGCGGAUGCAGUGAGAGGAGAAGUUGGAGAUAUUCUGAAAUGAAGAUUGGAAGUGCCCCGAGGAACCCGACAGCUCUAACCAGCAGGAGAUAGCUAAGAGAACUCUGCCCCCUCUUCCCACUAAGUUCCUUCUCUCCUACUCAGUAUUGGGGUGUGGGAAGGGAUUGAGGUGGAGUAGGGA